UUCCUUUAGGAAAACUCGUGUCGACUAGUGUUAUUUUUUUAGUUAAGCUGUAUCAUAAAUUACAAUGACCAACACCUAUUGAUAGUUUCGAAAGUUUUAACUUCUUCGGUCGUUGCAUCGUUGGCUCGGAAGUGCUGUCAUCCAAUUUCUAUGUCGACGAUUUGAUGACUGGAGGAGGAUCUGUAGAGGAAGUGCGCGAGAAAAUGAGGCAGACAUCCCAGUUAUUGGCUCGGGGAAGUUCCCAACGCUCCUGACGUACUUGAGAGAAUUCCCGACAAGGAUAUGGAAACACAAAGGCCCUUGGAUUGGUUUGGGAGCCUGCAUCCGAUAAUUUUCUCUUUUCGGACUGAUUGGGCUUGUCAUCGCAAAGGCAAAGAUUUUUCUUCAGCUGGUGUGGAAGGAGCAGCUAUAAUGGUUUGUCUACCCCUCAGCGGUUUGGAUUUCCUCGUCUGAGAGCUUUCCCCAAUUCAACAGUGGUAGUUCACGGGUUUUGUGACUCCAGCCUAGACGCAUAUGGCAUAUGUAUUUACGUCGUUUCAAGGACAAAUAACGUGCACUUCUGUGUGCGAAGUCGCGUGUCGCCCCUCUUAAGAUAUUUACGGUGCCCAAGGUGGAGCUAUGCGGCGCUGACUUGCUUUCUCAAUUUAUCAGUGAGAUAAAGCAACUUAAAUUGUUCACUGGAAGCUUCUAUUAUCGGGUCUCAGCCAUCAGAACUUCUGGAAUCGUAUAUUUGCGCCCACGGGCCCCUUUCUGCAAGAUGAGCAACCCCUGUGGCAGGGCCAUAUAUUCAAUCCAUGCCGACACCGCACACCGGUAAAGCUAGAAAGUUGAAACUUCGCAUAUGGGCUGUUCAUGUAUUAGUGAGUUUCGAAUUCAUUUUCUGACCGAUGCGAACACGCCUUCACCGCGUCCAACCAUACAAAUUUGGACUAAAUCAAAGUUUUUAAUUUUUUAAACUAAAAUUAGUUAUAAUUAU
Drosophila obscura is the source of this 976-nucleotide long non-coding RNA. RefSeq lists it as uncharacterized. The record is from RefSeq and is a predicted model, not a curated record. The transcript has 3 exons. Lineage: Eukaryota; Metazoa; Arthropoda; Insecta; Diptera; Drosophilidae.